RNAcentral lists this long non-coding RNA (1213 nucleotides) under Chrysemys picta bellii (western painted turtle). RNAcentral describes it as "lncRNA (ENSCPBG00000015086.1)". The record is from RNAcentral. Lineage: Eukaryota; Metazoa; Chordata; Testudines; Emydidae.
AUGAUGGAUGUAGAAUGGCUACAAGAGCGUGUCCCGACUGAGCCUUCCCAGAGUCACAGAACACUACAGCCAAAAAGUGCAAAGGAACUGAGGCAAGAAAAGGAGAUGUGCCAGCCUGGUUACAGGUUUCCUUCUGAUGCUGGUUCUUUGUAUCAUAUGCUUUGGUUUUGCUCCAAAUUGACCAUCACCUCUGAGCUCACCAACGCUCUAUGAAAAAGUCGCCCAUAACCAAUUUCCUUUCAGUUCUAUCUUCUGAGUAUUUCAUACAUUACAGAAGUGACUUUAUUGUUGACAAAUUCUCAGGCAAUGUAUCACUCGAACGUUGCUCAUAUAGCAACAGAGACAAGUGAAAAUUGAAGAGACUGCCACAAUUUGCCUUGUGGAAAAGCUUUGGCUGAUUUCUUUGGAGACAAAACACUUGCAUUCCUCAAAUCUUCUUACUGUUCUCCCACAAAGGAGAAAUAUGGAAAAGGAGACAACCAGAAAUGUGAAGUAUAUUGACUUGGAUUUUACAACUCCCACCACGAAAGAUAAUUGAAGAAAUGUCUAUUACAUUGAGUUGCAGUGUUGAGGCCGUGUUGGUUCCAGAAUAUGAAAGAGAGAAGGUGGGUGAGAUAAUAUUUUUUAUUGGCCCAACUUCCGUUGGUAGAAGGGCCAAGUUUUCAAGCUACCUGGAGCUCUUCUUCGGGCCUACGGAAGGAACUAUGCUCUCGAAUGAACUCACACAGAAAAAUGAUAAAAGGCCACAAUGACAAAAUGACCCGUGAAUGAAUAUUUUUCACAAAGUGAUCACUCUGUAUCUGAUCUUGCAAUACUUGUCCUCAAUGGAACACCUUCAAAAGGCACUAAGGGUCCAUCUACACUGCCAUAAAACACCCCCAGCAGGCCCACGUCAGCCAACUACGGCUUGUGAGGCUCGGCUGCAGAGAUUUAAAAUUGCAGUGUAGCUGUCUCCAUCCUUAGAGGUUUUUAAGGCCCAGCUUGACAAAGCCCUGGCUGGAAUUAUUUAGUUGGGUUGAGGUAACCCAUUCCAAUGCUUGUCGGGCCUUAAAACCCUCUAAGGAUGGAGAUUCCACCACCUCCCUAGGUAACCCAUUCCAGUGCUUCACCACCCUCCUAGUGAAAAAGUUUUUCCUAAUAUCCAACCUAAACCUCCCCCACUGCAAUUUGAGACCAUUGCUGCUUCUAUCAUCUGGUACCACUGAGAACAAUC